RNAcentral lists this ribosomal RNA (420 nucleotides) under uncultured bacterium. RNAcentral's name for it is "bacterial SSU rRNA". It matches the Rfam family "Bacterial small subunit ribosomal RNA", at positions 356 to 773 of the family's 1533-position model. The record is from RNAcentral.
GAGGAAUAUUGGUCAAUGGACGAGAGUCUGAACCAGCCAAGUAGCGUGAAGGAUGACUGCCCUAUGGGUUGUAAACUUCUUUUAUACGGGAAUAAAGUGGAGUAUGCAUACUCCUUUGUAUGUACCGUAUGAAUAAGGAUCGGCUAACUCCGUGCCAGCAGCCGCGGUAAUACGGAGGAUCCGAGCGUUAUCCGGAUUUAUUGGGUUUAAAGGGAGCGUAGGCGGGUGCUUAAGUCAGUUGUGAAAGUUUGCGGCUCAACCGUAAAAUUGCAGUUGAUACUGGGCGCCUUGAGUGCAGCAUAGGUAGGCGGAAUUCGUGGUGUAGCGGUGAAAUGCUUAGAUAUCACGAAGAACUCCGAUUGCGAAGGCAGCUUACUGGACUGUAACUGACGCUGAUGCUCGAAAGUGUGGGUAUCAAAC